RNAcentral lists this small RNA (105 nucleotides) under Pseudomonadota bacterium. RNAcentral describes it as "Proteobacteria bacterium Guanidine-I sequence". It matches the Rfam family "Guanidine-I riboswitch aptamer". From Rfam's summary of the family: This family represents a conserved RNA structure found upstream of the ykkC and yxkD genes in Bacillus subtilis and related genes in other bacteria. The function of this family is unclear although it has been suggested that it may function to switch on efflux pumps and detoxification systems in response to harmful environmental molecules. The record is from RNAcentral. Lineage: Bacteria; Pseudomonadati; Pseudomonadota.
ACAAUGGGAAACUAGGGUUCCGGCCAAUGUAGUCAAGGCGUCAGGUCCAAGAGUUUCCGGUCUCGUGAUAACGAGGCUCCACGGAGGGAUAAAAGCCCGGGAGAU